AGAAAGUAUGUUAUGAUCUUAGAGACAAAAAAAUGCUACUACUCAUAGACCCUUAAAAGAGCCUUCAAUGAACUUGAAAUUACCUUAAUAGGCAACUAGAUACUAGAUUUUCAAUGCAACAAUGUACAGAACACGAUACUAAACAGGUACUGUAGUCUGAACUAACAAACAAUCACAUAGACAACACUGAGAAUCAGGCAAGUCAGCUAGAUCAGCAAU
Molecule: long non-coding RNA, 219 nt
Filed under: Elaeis guineensis (African oil palm)
Lineage: Eukaryota; Viridiplantae; Streptophyta; Magnoliopsida; Arecales; Arecaceae
Description: long non-coding RNA (EGUI_LNC046827)
Source: RNAcentral